This 253-nucleotide ribosomal RNA is filed under the name uncultured bacterium. RNAcentral's name for it is "partial 16S ribosomal RNA". It matches the Rfam family "Bacterial small subunit ribosomal RNA", at positions 524 to 776 of the family's 1533-position model. The record is from RNAcentral.
UACGUAGGGCGCAAGCGUUGUCCGGAAUUAUUGGGCGUAAAGAGCUCGUAGGCGGUUUGUCGCGUCUGCUGUGAAAGCCCGGGGCUCAACCCCGGGUCUGCAGUGGGUACGGGCAGACUAGAGUGCAGUAGGGGAGACUGGAAUUCCUGGUGUAGCGGUGAAAUGCGCAGAUAUCAGGAGGAACACCGGUGGCGAAGGCGGAUCUCUGGGCCGUAACUGACGCUGAGGAGCGAAAGCAUGGGGAGCAAACAGG